GGAGGAUGGACUUGAAGGUCUCAAAGAAGCUGGAAUACGCUCAUGAAGACGAAACACAGACAUUUGCAGAAAAUGAAGUGGACGAGGAAGCAGUAGAGUGUAAUAACGU
Danio rerio (zebrafish) is the source of this 109-nucleotide non-coding RNA. The record is from Ensembl. Lineage: Eukaryota; Metazoa; Chordata; Actinopteri; Cypriniformes; Danionidae.